This 403-nucleotide ribosomal RNA is filed under the name Verrucomicrobiota bacterium. Its description in RNAcentral is "Verrucomicrobia bacterium partial 16S ribosomal RNA". It matches the Rfam family "Bacterial small subunit ribosomal RNA", at positions 355 to 776 of the family's 1533-position model. The record is from RNAcentral. Lineage: Bacteria; Pseudomonadati; Verrucomicrobiota.
UGGGGAAUAUUGCACAAUGGGGGAAACCCUGAUGCAGCGACGCCGCGUGAGCGAAGAAGGCUUUCGAGUCGUAAAGCUCUGUCCUAUGAGAAGAUAAUGACGGUAUCAUAGGAGGAAGCCCUGGCUAAAUACGUGCCAGCAGCCGCGGUAAUACGUAUGGGGCGAGCGUUGUCCGGAAUUAUUGGGCGUAAAGGGUACGUAGGCGGUUUUUUAAGUCAGGUGUCAAAGCGUGGAGCUUAACUACAUUAAGCACUUGAAACUGAAAGACUUGAGUGAAGGAGAGGAAAGUGGAAUUCCUAGUGUAGCGGUGAAAUGCGUAGAUAUUAGGAGGAAUACCGGUGGCGAAGGCGACUUUCUGGACUUUUACUGACGCUCAGGUACGAAAGCGUGGGGAGCAAACAGG